UUCUAUUUCAUAAAAUUCGGGUCUUACAUCUACCAUUCGUUUGCUACUUAAAUUGUGACUUAUUUUUUGACUUAUAAGUCAAAAAUAAUAAGUAACAAUUUCUAACUUAUUGAAAAAUAAUUUAUAAGUCAUUCUCAAUAAGUUGGUUUGACCAUUGUACCCUUUCUAUUUUGAUAAAUUACAUACUUCUCAUUGUUGUUGGUGCUCUCUCCGAUAUCUCCGACUCGUUUUCGUCGUCGCUUCCCAGUCUGAUACUUAAGCCUCGACAGCAACACCAUCGGGAUCUUCAUUUUCACAUCUGAACUUUUUUUAUCUAUUCUUCUUCUUUAAGGACGAUUGGGUUGUCUUCAUGAGCAACGAACGUGAUUAAAGAUGAACAAUGGGACUGCUUAUGUUUAUAGAAGAGAGAGAAAGGGAAAGAUAAUGAAGGGAGUGAAAAGGAGCAAGAGAAUUGAUGGAUUUUGAUGGGUUUGAACAGACUGAAAGAGAUAAUGAACGAUUUGAUAAGGUUUUGUGCUGAAGUUUGGUUCAGGGAGUGAGAUGAGAG
This 547-nucleotide long non-coding RNA is filed under the name Panax ginseng (ginseng). Its description in RNAcentral is "long non-coding RNA (PGIN_LNC002414)". The record is from RNAcentral. Lineage: Eukaryota; Viridiplantae; Streptophyta; Magnoliopsida; Apiales; Araliaceae.